Molecule: ribosomal RNA, 211 nt
Filed under: uncultured bacterium
Lineage: Bacteria
Description: partial 16S ribosomal RNA
Rfam family: Bacterial small subunit ribosomal RNA
Source: RNAcentral
UAUGUAGGUGGUGACUUAAAUCUGUUAUUCGAAAGACAAGUACGAUCAGUAUUUGAAGCGUAACUGACACUGGGUUGCUAGAGUUUGGGGGGUGUUUAUAGAAUUUUUCGAGGAGUGCUGAAAUGCUGAGAUACUGAAAGGACUGCUGAAUGUGGAAGCAUUAUUCAACCCCAUAACUGACACUGAGGUACGAAGGCGUUGGUAUCAAAUG